RNAcentral lists this ribosomal RNA (468 nucleotides) under uncultured bacterium. RNAcentral describes it as "partial 16S ribosomal RNA". It matches the Rfam family "Bacterial small subunit ribosomal RNA", at positions 28 to 507 of the family's 1533-position model. The record is from RNAcentral.
GACGAACGCUGGCGGCGUGCUUAACACAUGCAAGUCGAACGGAAAGGCCCUGCUUUUGUGCGGUGCUCGAGUGGCGAACGGGUGAGUAACACGUGAGUAACCUGCCCUUGACUUUGGGAUAACUUCAGGAAACUGGGGCUAAUCCCGGAUCGGAGCUCCUGCUCCAUUGUGGGGGUUGGAAAGUUUAGGCGGUUGGGGAUGGACGCGCGGCUUAUGAGCUUGUUGGUGGGGUAGUGGCUUACCAAGGCUUUGACGGGUAGCCGGCCUGAGAGGGUGACCGGCCACAUUGGGACUGAGAUACGGCCCAGACGCCUACGGGAGGCAGCAGUGGGGAAUAUUGCACAAUGGGCGGAAGCCUGAGGCAGCAACGCCGCGUGCGGGAUGACGGCCUUCGGGUUGUAAACCGCUUUCGCCUGUGACGAAGCGUGAGUGACGGUAAUGGGUAAAGAAGCACCGGCUAACUACGUG